Molecule: long non-coding RNA, 21623 nt
Filed under: Triticum aestivum (bread wheat)
Lineage: Eukaryota; Viridiplantae; Streptophyta; Magnoliopsida; Poales; Poaceae
Description: long non-coding RNA (TAES_LNC025432)
Rfam family: tRNA (bases 20980-21052)
Source: RNAcentral
UUUUCUUUGUUUUAUUUGGUUUUUAUUUGUUCCUUUUCCGGUAUUCUUAGUUUCUUCAUUGAUUUUUCUUCGGGUUUCUCCUUUUUCUUUUUCUUUCUAUUUCUCUGGUUUCUUUUAUUUUCUUAUAUUUCUUUGGUUUUUACUAUUCUUUGUUUUCUCUUUAACACACAUCUACAUUUUUCAUACACACUAGUACAUUUUACGCAUGCACCAAAAACAUUUGCUUGUACAAGUUUAAUAUUUUUAAAUACAUGAUUAAUAUUUAAAAAACAAUUUUGUGAACAAAUUGUACAUUUUUGUUAUAUAUCAGGAACAUUUUUAAUACGUGUUUCACAUUUUUUUCAAUAUAUGAUUAACAUUUUUAUAUACAUGAUUAAUAUUUUUUUUGAAAAUUUAUGUUUUAAAGUUCAGUUUUUUAAUUAAGGCCCUAUAUUUUUCUUACACCUGAAACAUUUUAUUUUAUACGUUUAACAUUUUUGGAAUAGAUGAUUAAUUAUUUUUCCAAUAUUUUUGUUUCAUGACUACUUUUUGUACACAUGUACAUUUUUUGUAUACAUCAGGAACAAUUAUAUGCACCUCUAACAUUUUGGAAAUAUAUGAUUAACACUUUUUUUAUACACAAUCAACAUUUUUAGAAAUUUAUGUUUUAAUAUUCAAUUUUUUCAAUACAUGUUCUAUAUAUUUUGUAUAUAUUAGAAUUUUUUUUACAAGUUUUACGUUUUUAAAUAGAUGAUUAGCAUUUGUCAGAAACAUAUAUUUUUGGAUUUUUAGUCUUUUCAAUACACAUCAUACAGUUUUUGUAUACAUGUGAAUCUUUUUAUAUACAUGUUUAAAUAAUUUUAAAUAAAUGGUUAAAAAAUUAGAAACAUAUUCUUUUGUUUAUCUUUUUCCAUGUCCGUCGUACAUUUUUUGUACACAUAAAAAAUCAACAAAUAUUUAAAAAAAUUAAAUGCAUUCUUAAUAGUUUUUGUCGAAAAUGUAUGUAAAAUAUUUACAAAUUUGAAAGUAUAAACAAAAGUAAAAAAAUAAAUCAAAAACGAAAAAAAAGUGAAAUGAAAACUGAAAACAAACGAGGCAGUGGACUCCGCACGCCUGGGCUGUCCAGUGUGGCGUUCCCCUCACGCGAGGCUACCAUCGAAGUCCCGUACACAUGUGUGUAUGGUGUGCGGAGCUGACGGUAGCUGGAGACACUCGCUUUUGGAAUGCAUAAUGUCUAGAAGCGUAUGGGCGCUAUCGAGCGAGGAGCUAGUGCAGCAUAUAUGCAUGAACAAAGACGAUGAUGCCAAGGGCUGGUAUUCGCCAUGAGCGAUUCGCUGCCAUUGGAGGAUUUUACUACACUGAUCACUACCCUUUGGGCGAUAUGGCAACGCUAGACGGAAGAUAAUUUAUGAAGGAGUUUUGCAGACGCCCUAUGCUACACAGGCUUUUAUUGGAAGGUUUCUUUCAGACCUUUAGUGCUUGUUCAAGCCGGCCCAGGUAGUUCGUACAGCAGGUUCACCUCGACCAACCAACUGGAUUCCCCCGGCUGGAGAUCACUUCAAGAUUAACACUAAUGCUGCGGUGUCAAGAUGGGGAGGUAAGGGGGCUGUAGCAGCUAUAUGUCGUGAUGAACAAGGUAACUUUCUUGGAGCCUCUUCGGUUUUGGUCAACAAUAUAGAAGAUCCGGAGACUCUAGAAGUGAUGGCGAUCAGAGAAGCUAUGGCCUUAGCAAAUGAUCUAUAUAUAUCCAAAAAAAAUCGGUGGCAUCGGACUGUAAGAUUGCGGUCGAAGCAGUAAGAAAAGGAACCUCUUCAUUUUAUGGAGCGAUUGUGCUGGAGAUCAAAGAGACAUUUAGAGCUUUUAUUUCUUGUAUUUUCUUACAUGAGUUUAGAACCUUGAAUAUCGAGGCACACAAGCUAGCAAAGCAUACACUAUCGCUAAAGACCGGUCGUCAUGUUUGGUUAGGUCCCCCGACAGACUUUUUUUCGUCCAUGUAAACCGUGUGACUGUUGAAUAAAAAACUUUGCGAGUUUGCCUUGAAAAAAACCAUCGAAGUCGCGUGGAGUAGCCGCGCCCAGGUACAGCCCCUGCCCGUCCACAACAAACCUACGGAAAUGUUAACGCCCACACGUGUGGGCGUUCACCACUCCGUCCACACGCAAGCAUCGCCGUUGGUUUCGUUUUGCACGAAUCUUGGAGCAAAAGGGCUGGUUUUCGACGCCACGUUGGACGAUUCUAGUGUGCGGUGUGCGAGUGGGUUCGCCCGCACGGUAGUUGCCAUCCCGCGGUCAGCGGUUGCCACUGAGAGGCGUGCAGUGGAACUGCCAUGCGCCCGCACGCCACGGUCCGACCGCAGUUGACGUCAAACACGUCGCACACCCCUCCACCCUCUCCCUCACGGUUCCAUUCACUCUCCCCCGCGUCGCAUUUACUGGCACAACCCACUCGCAUUACAGUCCACUGGAGGAGAAGGCGAGGGGAGAAGGCGACGGCGGAGGCGGGACAGUCGACGGUGUUCGCGGGCGUUGGUGGUGCUCGUCGGAGCGGAGCGGCGUCGCCGGAACGCGCGCAGGUCGAAGGCAAUGCUCGCUUCAUCUAUCGCAUACCCUCCCUGAUUUUGUUCCCCUCUUUCCUCCCUGUUAGAUUUCUAGAUCCAUUCCUAGAAAUCCCGGCGAUUCGGUGGUGCGCCGGCGUUCCCGCCGCUGCGGCGGUGCACCAUAGUUGUGUGCCUGCCGUUGCUUCGUGGGAGUGGGCAGUUUCGUCGCCGCCGCUGCGGCGGCAUCAUCGGUGAGGCUAUGCCUGCUCGUUGGCAACGCAUUAGUCUUGCAUUUGGAUUUUGAGAGUUGUCCGCCGGGUUGUUUUGGUGCGGAUUGGUUCGAAAUUUGGGGUUGCAGCCAUUUCGCGCGAGAAUUGUAAGGGUGAUUUUGAGGUUGAAGCAGUUGCCAUUGAAACCUAGAUCUAGUCUAGUUUUGGGGUUGAAACUGCAGACUGUGGCGAAAUUGGCAGUAUGAUUGAACGUGAAACAAAUGUGCGGCAACUAAACUACCUGAAGAAACGUGGUAGUUGCCACAAACGUGUUCUCCCAUGUGGCAACAGAUUUCCGAAAAUGACUGUCAUAGUUGCCACCCCAAAACGAGGUGGCAACUAAUUUCAUUGAACUCCUGUGGCAGUUGCCACACGCAUGCUCUUCCCAUGUGGCAAAUUUUAAUUCUGCUGAACUUGUACGAUAAGUAACCAGAAAAAAUAUGCUUUCUGAAUGUGGCAACUAUGGCAGUAUGACCGAACGUGAACAGGUGUGUGGCAACUAAACUACAUGAACAAAUGUGGCAGUUGCCACAAAUGUGUUCUCUUCUGCGGCAACAUAUUUUUGGAAACUGACUGUCAUAGUUGCCACAAAUGUGUUCAAGCUCACACACAAGGGGGGCAACUAAAAUUUACUGAAUGAAUGAGAUAGUUGCCACAUACACGCUCUUGAACGAGGCAAACUGAUUUUUUACUGAAUUUACAUAAUAGUAACCUCAAACAUUCUUUUUCAUUUGUGAGACUUGUUUUUUUUCUGAAUUAUUUGCGACAGUUUCCAAACUUUGAUAGUUGCCACAAUCGGUAGCACUGGACGGAACUAAUGUGCACAUCGAGUUGGCGUGUUUGCCACUUUUGGAUUUUGUAUAAUCAUGUUGCAAUACAGUAUGUGAAUAUAAUGUCUGUUGCCACAAUACAGAUAUGACAGUGUGGCAAACUGGCUGCAUAGUAUGGCAACCACAUUUGCAUUCAAAUAGUUAAUAUUUUUCUGUUAGGUGGCAACUGCUUACCCAUUUCAUUUUACAUUUUCGCCAUUAACAAUUUGGUCUGUUCCUACAUCAGCAUAAUGGCUCGUGGCGAUCAUCAAAGUGAUGAUGACGAUUUCAUGGAUCCACCUCAACGUAACCAGGCAACUGGACGGAGAAAAGAGGGCGAUGAGGUAACUGUCCGCACACCCGCCCCCCUCCUCCUGAUUUAUGUUAUUUGUUGGCAGCUAGAUCUUUUUUAUAGUCGUCCAUCAUGAACUAAAUUUUCAUAACAUUGCAAAAACAUGGCAACAGCUCAACACUUUUGUGUUUGUUUUUUGCAGAAGAAGAAACGUAUUCGCAACAGAGCCUCCCAGGAACGUCUGACCGUGUUGAUUGACAAAUUCACUGACGAUCAAAAGGGAGCUGCUGCUGAGAUGGGUAUGCAGGUUCUGAUGGAUGUCCGGUGUACGAACCUUGUCAACCCGGUAUGCGACUGGCUUGGUGAGAUAUACGAUCCCGCCUCCAGGGAAUUCGUGAUCCCGGGACGGGGAAGACUUCCAUUGAAUGAGGAAUCCGUGUUCUGCACUUUGGGUGUGCCUCGGGGACAUAUCAAAGUCCCGUACGAGGUUAAUAAUGAGAUCGAGGAAGAGCUGUUCGCCCGUUUGUUUCCUGGGUUGGAGGCAAUGCCGAACACGUCUGUACUAGCAGAUUCUCUGCAGGACAUGACGACGCACGGAGAAGUUUUCAAGAUGAAGCUACUCAUGUACCUCAUCUCAGCUGUUUUCGCGCCGACCACUUCUCUUCGCCCAAGCAACAAAUGUUUCCCCAUCCUGGUGAAUGAUCCAUGCUUGCUACUGCCAGUGUUUUCGUUGCGUUUCUUCCCUUUUGAUUUCUGACGCGGCAACCUUUUUUGCCCUGAAAUUUUGUGUGGUGCAGGCGAAUCUAAAAAACGUGAAGAGUAUGAACUGGUGUAAGUUUAUUGCCGACUUUCUCCACGAUGUUUUCAAAAACAAGAUGUACCAGAAGGGUUGUCGUCUGCACUUAAUGGUAUUUUUUUUCACCAGAUCUCUGUGUGAACUCUUUGUUUAUAACGUACUUUUUAUUUCAUGCAUGACAAUCUGGUCAUAACAAGAUGGCAACUGCCAUAGUGACAAUGUGGCAACUGCCAUAAUGACAACGUGGCAACUGUCAUACUGACAAUGUGGCAACUACCUUCAUAUUAGCAUGGCAACUGCUAUCACAGUAGGAUGACAACUGCCAUCACACUUUGAUGGCAACUAACACAUACAUAUUAUCGUUGGAUCAUACAUUAUCCUGCUCUUUUUUUUCUGAACUACAAAUUAACCACGAUGGCAACUGAUAUUUUUUUUUCUUUGCAAAAUUGUUUUAAAUCAGCUCAUGUAUGUCGACUGUCUUGAUCUGUCCACCGUGGAUUUCACCGGGAUAGGAGGCCCGCCGCCUACUCACAAGUUUACCGUUUCUGCGUGGACCAUCAGCACUGUCAAGGCUGUGCUUGCCGCAGACAGGGCAACUGAUGGCACAUAUGGAAAACUACAGGUUAGUUUUUGUUUAUGUCUUUUUCACACGGCAUGCUUACAAAUUUGACACGACGCAACCGUCCGUGGUUUAUAAGGCAUGCUCACAAUUUCUUUUUUUGUUUUUCAUAGCUGAUGGCCAAGCAUGCUAUAGACUACAGCGUGUUUGGGGGGCCUCAAAAAUUUGAAAAGUGGAUGGACGUGCACUCAGCUCCGUCUUGCCCUUCUGAGGUAAUCAAAAUGUCCACAUCUACGGUUUGCCGUGGAUUACGUGUUGAUGUCGCGGAAGCGAAUGCAGUACGGGCGUUGUUUUGUUGAUGCUUCUUGUUUUCGUGCACAGGCGAGGGCACCAGUGGAGCAUCUAAUUAGGCAGUUUGCAUCCGGAAUGACCGGCCUGCUCGGGAAGUUAGUUGAGGGGUGGACGUCCCUCAGUGCCUCUGACAGCGACGCGGUUGCGAGGCAGUUCACUUCAUUUGUCCCAGAACGUACACAUCGGCCAACCGGUUGCCGUGGCCGGUAUGACUACAACAGCUCCCAAGAGCCCGGUGACACACAGGAUGAUGUGGAUGGAGACGCUGGCCUCAGCAAGGACGACGACGAUGACACCGAUGGCGAUGAACACGCUGAAGUUCGCACAUGCGGCAACAAGGGCAAGGAUGCAACAGGUGCCCACCCACCGGAGAAAGUGAAAAAACAUACGGCUGCGAGAGGCGAGGGGGUUUUGCCAUCAAGGAGGGGGAGGGCUCCAGAGGAUGUUGGGCAGGGUUCUGCUGGCAAGAGGUCUAGGAUCGAUCCCGUAGCUGCCAGGAAGAGGUUCGACUCUCAAUUUUAGUUUUCUGCUGUGUAUCUCUUCUUUGGAAAAAUCUCAUCCAUUUCUUUUGCACUUAUUUUUUGUCAAGCGCGGCAAUUAGUUUGUUGUCUGACAAUUGCCACCUUCUUUUUUCCUUCCAUCUAUUGCGUGCAGUGAGCCGACCGCUGGUGGACGAGCAGCUACGAAGAAACAGGCGCCAACGCCAACCCGUGUUUCUGCUCGCUUGAACAAAGGUGCCCCCAUUGCCGGUGACAUCCCUUCCACCAGGUCUUCUGCUCGUACGACGACGACCAACACCGGGGAUCCUGUCGUGUUGCCUGACCUGAGGAAGGCAGUCAAGAAGUAGGUUUCUCCAUGUGCUUUUCAUUUGAGAUAGCGGUUUUUUUCUUGAUUUUUCAAUGCAACUGGUCUGCUUUUGUCACAUGUUCUUCUGUUAUCAUCCCCCACGAGGCAACUGCUGUUUUUUCCAAAUGAUUUCUUCCUUCAUUUUUUAAAUGUAUGGCAACUCCUAUUUAUCUUUACAUGGCAACUGGCAUCUAGGCCAAAUGGCAACUAUUUCUGUACCUAAUGGCAACUAUCAUCUUUUUUUUACCAUUUUCUUCUGAGAGUUCAUCCCCCACCUAAUUUUGAAAUUGCAUUCCUCACAGAUCAGACAUUUCUAUCAUUCCUUUCAAUUUGCCUAACUUUGACAACUGCUGCUGUAUGGCAACUGCUAACUAUGGCACAUGGCAACUCAUGACCCCCUUACAUGGCAACUACCAGCUUUUUCCACUUGUUUUUAGUUUUUUAAUGCUUCUAUCAUUGCAAACAUAUUUUUUUGUUCAUUUUUUUCAUACCAUUUUUCACGUGCUUUUUUCCUUCGCAGGGUGAAGAAGACUACUACGCGCGGGGCCAAGCAUAUCAGUAGAGACCCACUCGAACGCCUGCAUUCAAAGUUGUCAACAGGUGGCAACUCAGAUGUACAUGAGGCGCCAGGCGACAAUACUGCUGCUGCACCGUCAACUGCUCCCACUAACUCUGAUGCAAGUGGCCGACCAUCUCCGCCGGCUGCAGAUGUGCAGGCUAGAACAACAGGCAUCCGUACAUCGGGGAGUGACGAGUCGGUAUCCGCCAGGACAGCUGAAAUAUUGCCAACUCUUCUGGCAAUGAAGGAUGCUGCUGUGAGCCAUGCCACCCCAUCAGCAAGCGUCGAAGUGGAUGCUCCCGAGACCAACCUAGGCAAGGAAGAUUCCCGCUCAUCUGACACUGAUUCCAAGCGCGUGCCUGGUGUCUCACCUGUGUCCAUGACAGAAACGGCUGAGGCGGCACUUCACAAGGAUAUGCCAUCUGCAUAUGAGAAUCCUGGCACAACAGCUCCAACUCCUGUCGGUGGAGAUACUGCUAAGGCGACCGUUUCGCGUGCUGGUCUUCCACAUAGGCGUCGUAGCCCCCGCAAGCAAUCAACAGACAUACCCAACGCUCCGGCUGUAGCUAGGAGCAGGAGAGACGAAUCUGGUUAUGUUCCUGCGUCCACACUGUUCCCGCCACCUGCAAAAAUCAAUGUGAUGGAGAAACCGCAAGACCGGAGCACACCUGAUGCAGGUGUCAAGCCGGGCACGAGUGACGCAGAGGAACGCCCGGAGCAGACUGUGCCUUCACCCGCAGCGGAAAUCCCCAGCAUAAAUCUGCGCACUUCCAGGCUCCCAGUCAAUGUCGGUGUCUCCUACAGUCCAAACAAGAAGAUUGUCAUGAAAGCUGCGGCUGAGACCGCUGACAACACGCCCCGCCCUGCAAACAAGGCCGAUCAUUUUGUAGCGGCCGAUUCAGAUAUGUUUGUCGAUCUUUCACCCUUGGAUUCUGCCCCGAAAGUCGUUCGUGGUCCGGCCAGUAGGAAUGAGAGGCACCCAAUGGCCUUUACCCCACCGAGCUUCAGCCUUGGCGUCAGUCAAGAUCAACCGGUGGUGAACGAUCCUAUACCAGUUGCCUUUGCUUUCCCAGGAGGCAUGCCCGCAAUGAUGGCGCAGCCAAUGGUCGAGGGCAGGAAGGCUGUCAAGUUCGCAGAGCCAAUUGUGCAAGGUACACUCAUCACGCACUUACGAUUUUCUUGUAUACAUGUUUGUAGUUUGACUUUUGUCCCAAUCACAUUCUUUGGGGGUCCUCACUUGUGACGGCAACUGCCAUGUGACAACAUGGCAACUGGAUUUGAUGCACCAUGUCACCUACGUUUUUUUCUUGCUGCCAUGCUGCGUUUGACAUUUGGGCAAGCACGUGGCAACUGAAGUUAUUUCAACAUGGCAACUGUAGUUGCUGUCACAUGGCAAAUACUGUUCAGUACACAUGGCAACUGGAUUUGCCACAUCAUGCCACCUGCAUUUUUUCUACCAUGCUGCAUUUUUUCAUACGGCAUUCACAUGGCAAGUGGAGCCGACACAACAUGGCAACUGCAGUUGCUGUGACAUGGUACAUACAGUACAACUAGGUGGCAACUACAGUGCAACUACAUGGCAAUUGUAUUUGCUAUGUCAUAGCGACUGUAGUUGGACCACCCAUGGCAACUGCCCCACUUUUUCUACCUACAUAUCACAUCAUGGACCUUUAUCUCCUCACAAUCCAUCUGUUUUUGGAUUUUAUAUGUAUCCUAACCCACUUUUUUUUAUAUUCAUUGCAGCCACCCCUGAGGAGAUUUCACCGUCACUUGAUGAAGUUUACCGCAUGAUCGAGAAGACAGCAUUGCAGAGGAGUUCCUCACGGGGGCAAGGGCAAUCAAGUUCCAAUGUGCCUGCAGAUACGGUAUCUGAGGAUACCAUUAGGAGUGUCACCCCUAGUCCUGUGAGGCAGCAGAGGGUAGUUCACCCACCCCCCGCGGAAGACUAUGAGCCCGAAUUCAGGGCCACUAAGGAACAGACCCAGCUGUACGAUAUCGUCAAGCGUUUUGGAAAUGCGAGGACCAACAGCAAGCACAUGAAGGAGCUGAAAGUGUAAAUUACCAUACCCCAUAAUCUCUCAUCUUGCUUGCUCUUUUUUUACCAUUUAUCUACUUCGUACUUUUUAUAAAUGGUCCGCUUACGUUUUAGUUCUUUCAUAUAUAUUUUUUUACUUAGUAGGCAUGAUUCUUCCAUGCUAUAUCGUUUUCAUACAGCUCAUGUUUGGACAGAACGAAAGUCAUUCAGUGCGGAGCGACGUACGUCGACCUGGGUGAUCUUGCCGAGUCCGUGAGGCCAAACGGAAAAAUGUCGAUGAAUGUAGUUGCAUGCGGGAUCGACUACAUCAACAAUCACACCGAUGUAUGCGCCGACAAGAUAAUCAUGCAUUACAGUGUGACCUGCAAAAUAUGGGAUGGUGACUUCCACCACAAAAUCCUGAGGAACAAUUUUGCACAACACGAUGACUUCAAGCUCACACUGAAGAAAUAUGUGAGUACUCCUUUCUUGUCUGCACCGUUUUUUCACAUGGCGUGGUUUUUUGCCAGAACCUGUACUUGUGUUUGUGUGGCAGAAGUUUUUCAUGUGGCAACAGUUGCCGUGCACACUGACUUCUUGAUUUUUUGUAUCCCCAUGCAAACUAUGUGGCAACUUGAUAGUAAAAUACAUGGCUCAUUUUGUUCAUACAAUGGACGGCAACUUUCUUUUCAACUACUCCCACCCAUAAUCAAACAUUCUACGUGAUUCUAAUUUUUUUGUCCCUCUGUUGUUCUUUCAUGUGAACUUUGUAUCUCAUUUCUUCACUUUUUUAAAUGCAGGUCAUGUUCCCCAUGUUCCAGGAGCUUGCACCACACGACCGACACGACAAGUGUGGUCACCACUAUGCGGUCUGUCUUGACCUGAAGAACCAACGUAUCGAGGUGCUUGAUUCAAUCCGUUCGGAAGCUGAUGCAGACCUUACUACGCAUGCCGAAUUAUUCAUCAAGAACCUCAAAGAGACUUGGAACCGUCACUACGAACAUUCAAAGGUCCAGAUCAGGCAUUUCCCGACUGAGUAUGUGGCGACUGUGAAGCAAGGGAACACGUAAUUUCUUUUAACCCGCUCCUUCAUGUGCCAUUUUUACAUCAAUCCACCCCCUCUUUUUGUUGACACAUCUGAACUGAAGUCCAUCUUUGCUGCAGCUGUCCAUUUUUGCGUGUUCACCUGAACUCUUUUUCCUCGUGCAGGACGGACUGUGGCUUUCACGCGCUGGAAUACUUUGCAAAGUGGGAAGGCAGAAUUGUCCCCGUUAUCACAGAUGCAACGGUCGUUGAGCUCCGAAAAAUCUGCACAUGGAACUGGCUGACGAAUGAAGAUUUCAACAAGCGGUCCGGAGGACGCGAGUUCGUGGAGGAAGCUGUCAAGCAAGUCAUCAAGAAGUACAAGUGAUCACGUGGCGUUACACACCAGACGCACACCUUACAUUCUGUUGUUGAGGAAUGUAAGGUACUAUCUCUCUGUUCUUUGUCGAAAACUAUGUUUUGUGUGCUACGUUAUGACUGCAACCUCGUGUAGCCUACUAUGUAAUGGUGGCGUGUUAGCGACAUUUUUAGUGUUUUCUGUAAUACAUGUGUGGAUGUGAACCUAUUUUAGGCGUUACAUCAGAUCUGUUUUUAUGUUUAUCAUUACGACAGUGGUUUCGUCGUUUCUAGCAUUGUUUUUUGCUGUUUCGAAUGCGUCUGCGAUGUUUUCAAAAAAAAGAUGGCAAAUGUAGUUCAACAGACAUGGUUAGUGAAAGUCAUCGUCAUUUUUUCAUUUUUGGCUGUUUUGCUUGUUCUUUUUCAUCGCUAAUUGCACCGGCUAGCAUUGGGUAGGUUUAUCAUGUAGCCAUAACCUUUGCUGCGGUUUAUGCACGUUUACGCUUUUUUUCCAACCUGUUUUCCCAUACAUUGCACACAACACACUAUGUGCUUCUAAACCGCAUCGUAUUUGUCAUGGGGAUAUAUGCCAUGCAGAGUCAUUACAAAAAGCAUCCGGAAAUUUUCAGUACAGCUAACAUGGCAGAUACAUCAUAAAUAACAUGGCAGAUCCAGUACAACUUAUAUGGCAAAUCCAGUACAACUAACAUGGCAGAUCCAGUACAACUAACAUGGCAUAUUUAGUAUAAAGUAGCAUGACAUAUUUAGUAUAAAAUAGCAUGGCUUAUCUAGUAUAAAAUAGCAUGGCAUAUUUGGUACAAAAUAGCAUGGCAGAUUAACUACACAUAACAUGGCAGAUUAAGUACCCAUAACAUGGCAAAUGCAUUUAUCCAUUCAAUGAAUUUUCCUUCUACUUCUGUCCCCCCUCAAGAGUCAUUAUCCCAAUUAAAAAAAUCCAAUCGUAUAGGGGUACAAAACAAAAUGUCCACAUGGACCAUGUCACAGCGCCCCGAUUUUUGCUCAUUGAUUGCCCGCCCCUUUCUUUGUUUUCUUGUGUUUUGCUUGAAUCUCCAGUCCCGACUUGUACCUUAUCUCUCUCGGAUGACCCUUUGUGAUGGAACGGGGUGGGUUCCUGACCUGGGUUUGUGUGCUUGCUGUUCCAGAUCCUAUCUCCGAGUUUUCAGACGAUGGCCCCGUGGAUGAAGGCACACUUGAUGUGCGGGGGAACCGGUGUAAGGCUUCCUCGGCUUUCCUUUUUUUGAUCUCAUCAAGCUCUCUUUUCAGUGCCUUCCUGUAUUUUUCUGCGACUCUCGCUGUGUCAUCACUCUUGCACGCUUCAUCAAUUAGCUCAGCAUAGUUCUUUGUCAGCACAACGUGCCUCACGGCUUCCAUGGUUGACUCAGGUCUCUCGUCAUGCACAGCCAGAACUGCGUGUGUUGUCUGCGGCGCCAACGUGUCGUCAGCGUCCCAAGUCCAUCGCCUCCUUAUGAAAUGGCGGGGCAUGCGUGUCACAACGUUCAUGUCCAUGACUUUUAGUAUGUGACAGCACACAAUGCCGUCCCGUUCGAAUUUGCAGCAUUGGCAGUAGUACUCGCCUUCGCCUAUCGAGGCUCUAACGAAGUAGUUCCUUCCUUUGUCCGCGUCUUCAGGUUCUGAAUCUGACAUGCCCAAAAUAGAACACACCUUGAACGUAUGUUCGUCCACCCGGAAAGCCGUGAACAUGCUGGCACGCUUUACUUCUUCCUGGAAUCUGCAAGUUUUGUGUGUUUUCUGUUAAACUUUCGUGCGAUCUUUUUCUUGUACACCCUUAUGUUGUCAUGGAAAUAGAAAUACAUUUUGUUUGAACAUGGCAAACAUAGUUCAUUGAACAUGGCAAAUAUAUUACGUUGAACAUGGCAAAUGCAGUGCACUACACAUGGCAAAUGCAUUACAACAUACAUGGCAAUUGCAGUACAAUAGACAUGGCAAUUGCAGUACAUUUUCAACUGGAUAUCGUCAUUUCCACACCAACAUUCCCCAAUGGAAGCACAUUGCAUAAAACAUGGCAACUGCAUUUUUAUUAAACAUGCCAUCUAAAGCUGAGUAAACAUGUCAAUUGCAUUUCAAAAAAAAGGGCAGAUGCAUUUCAUUAAACAUGGCAACUGCAUUUCAGCAUAUGUGUCGCCAAUAUAACAUUUUUUUAGCAUUUUUUGACAUUGGCAUUUGCAUGCCAACAUGCUCCAAUGGAAGCACAGCGCAUAAAACAUGACAACUGCACUUCAUUCAACAAGGGAAAUGCACCCGAGCAAGUAUGCCAAAACAAAAUUUUCAUUUUAACAUGGCAACUGCAUCUGAGUAAGCAUGGCAAACAGUAUUUCAUUAAACAUGGCAGCUGCAUGUCAUGGCAACUGCAUUGCACUCUAUAAGGCCCCUACUGACUUGGUGCUUUUUAUGCAAAUAAGACUGUAAUGCAACUGACUUACUUGUUAAAGAUCUUGUUGGUGUAUAUCUUGCUCAUUUGCCUCUCCAUCGGUAAAUACGUUAGCAAUUUUGGCUGCUUUAGGGCUAUGGUCGCUUCUUGCUGUAGCUCAGAUCCCAGAAUUUUUUGUUGCAAAGCUGUGUACUGCUUGGCAAACUGUAGCAAUGAGUUGCCAGGGCUGACGUACCGCUUUAAAACAGCAUUGAACCCCUCGCUGCGCUGUGUAGUCUGCAGAAAGGGGAAGAAGCACUGCAUGAAGUAGGCAGGCACCCAGUACAUUCGCUUCUCCCACAGGCUAACAAGAGUCUCGUUGUCCUGGACUUGAUGUGUUUCAGUCAUGGCCAUCCAGCUCCUUUCAAACUCCUCCACCGUCAAGCUGUGGUCCACGCACAGCUCGAAUGCCUUGUGCAGCUCUGGACGGUCGGCAAAGAACGGUCCUAGCAUCUCCUCAGCCUUCUUUAUAAUGUGCCACCUGCAGUGCUUGUGCACUGCCAACGGAAAGACCUCCUCUAUGCCUGCACGCAUGCUGAAAUCUUGGUCCGUUAUUAUGUUCAUCGGAGCAAGUCCAUCCAUGCACUCCAAGAAGGUCUUGAACAGCCAAACGUACCCAUCUGUGUCUUCGUUCCGGACGAGGCCGCAUCCGAACUGCAACGACUGAUUGUGGUUAUUUAUUCCUAUGAACGGAGCGCAUGGCAUCUUGUACAUAUUGGUGAGGUACGUCGCGUCGAAUGAAAUGCAAUCUCGGAAAUGUUUGUAGGCUCUCCUUGCAGCACCAUCCACCCAAUACAUGUUCCUGACACGGUCCUCAUCGUCCAACCUUAUCCUGUAGAAGAAAUCUGGAUCUUCCUUUGCUUUCGCAUCGAAGUAGGCUAUUGUGGCCUCUAUGUCUGCCAACUUGCUCUCUCUAUGGUACUUGGCCUGUAGGUCUGUGACGUCAGCUGGUAUGUACGGUAUUGCUACUCAGAGUCCCCUUUUUGCUGUGGAUGAGAGAUAGUAUCUGUACCAUUCUUGAUGGACCGACGUUACAAUCAUGUAGCAGCUUUACGAAUUUCCUUUCGACGGGGGUGAACCCUCUGUGGGCGGUUAGAAAUUUCACCAGGUCGAACUUCUUUAUGAGUUUGUGGUUGUGCUCGUCUGACCACCCAUGUUGCUCCAUCUACGUUUAGCUUACACCGGACAGGGCACCCCGUCUUGAAAAUGAUGCCUCUCUUUCGUUCCGGAGCGACAGGCGCAACACCUUUCCCCUUCUUGUUCCUCCGUGCCUUGUGGCACCUCAUCUCACCUCUGCUGUACUCAUUAGUUUUCUUAAUUUUCCUAUGGUACUCGGUGUUGACCGCAAAUCCAUGGAACUUUGCGUAUGCCUGGUAGUAUUCCUUUGCUUCUGCGAACGAUCCAAAUCUCUGCCCAAUGUAUGGUGGCUGAGGUACCACGAUCUCGGAUUGCCCACCAUCUUCAUCCUCUUGUGCGUCGUCGUCAGUUUUAUCAUUCGCUUCAGUAUCGGCGGCAGUUCCAUCUACUCGAGUGUUGCUAGUGCUUGUGUUCAAAGGGGUGCUCGUCGGCAUUGCUGGAAUGAUUGCCAUUCCCGACUCUGAAUCGAAAUUGUUUGCGGCAUGACAGUCUGCUGGCUGGUGGAACGCGUCUUCCGUGCGCUCAGAGCUCCCCGCAGUAGAUGUCCCCGCACCGCUGUUCACUGUAGUUGUAGGUUCUGUAAUAGAAAAAGCAAGCACGAGAGUAAGAUUUUUUGGUUGAAUAAGAUGUGUACCACAACGGAUCACACCAUCUUCGAUUGAUUUGGCACGACAUAUUUUCAAACAGCAAGCCGUGAGACUGCGUGUGGACAUGUGUGGCAGCUGUAGCUGUCCAGUCAUGGCAGGUACUGUUCAACAAACAUGGCAACUAUUGUUUUGCCUACAAAAAACUACAAACAACAAAUGUAGUGAUGUUUUUUGUGGUUCAAUUUUUUUCCUUACCUUGUUGUGCUGCAUUUGGCCAUCUUGUGUGGUCUGUGACACCAAAAUGUCGUGCUCCACCUGCAAUUUGUGAAGCUUGCCACGGGACGAUUGCCGUGUCACCACCAGCGUAAUACGCUGUAAGCAUAGUAGUGGUUGGUCAAUUCAUGGCAAUUUGCAGUUUGUGCUAGCACGGCAACUGCAGUCGCCCCUGAUGUGGCAACUGCAGUUUUACUGGCAUGGCAACUAUAGUUGCAUCGGCAUGGCAACCGCAGUUGUUCCUCCAUGGCAACUACAGUUGCGAUGACAUGGCAACUGUAGUUGCUCUGGCAUGGCAACUGCAGUUGUUUCUCCAUGGCAACUGCAAGUGUCCACUGAUGGCAACAACAGUUGUUCAGGGAUGGCAAAUGUAGUUUUAAAUUCAUGGCAAUUGUAGAAGUCCAGUCAUGGCAAUUUGGAGCUGCCAACUAUGCCCCUUCUGCUAAUUGAACAUCCGCAACUUCACUUUUUUUAUGGACUGACCUGUGUAUAACGUCGAUGGCAGGUACAUGGGUGCUGGCUGAUGCCACGUGCUGCAUGAAGGCCCUGCAUUUUCACCCGUGAUAACUCGUGAGUCCUCUUGCCAGUUUUUUUGCAUGUCCAUUUUUCACGUCCACAGCAGUAUGUGUUUUUUUUUGGUUUUGCAUUACCUUGAUUAGCCAUACUAGCUAGUUGAGGUUGGUUGCCCGUAAAUAUGUCAGUGUUAGCGCCUUGUGACUGAACUUGCCAUGGGGCCCCCCUGAGAGUGUUUUGGUCAUAAGAACCUGCAAAAAAAAUGGGAGUGUAGGACAUAAGUAGAAUGUCAUCUUCAUCGUUGCGAAGUUGGCAACUGCUCUCUUCUUUUUGUUUCCACGCAUCAUACCUACGCCUGCAUACUGUUCUAGUAGUGGCAGCAACGGCCCUGCAGAGAUGAGUUGACUAUACUCUGCUGCAUCCCAAGGCGGUGUUUCUGGCCUUUGAGAACCCCAACCAUCAGCGCCACCUUCGCGAUUCAUCCUUUCCGCGUCUAGAUUCUUUUCCGACAUGUUCUCAAUCACUGGAUGAUCAAAAAGGCAUCAAUAAUCCACAAGAAUUGUAUUCUUCUGCUGCUUGCACAUGGAAGAUAGGGAUGGCAAGCAACAGGUCAAAAUAGGUGGCAAUUGUCAUCAUACACAAGCGGCAACUGUCGUUACACACCUAGUGGCAAUUAUUUUUUCCCACCCUCUUCAUUCAAAAAAUCGUCCUUCCUGCCCUUUUUUAGGGAUUCCUACUCAUCCAUUUCAUACCCAACUACUUAAGUGCCUAAACUAGGCACCUAAGUUAACCUCAAACGUAGUACAUGGCAGAUCUGGUGUAUUCUGCCUGGCAAUUGCGAAUAUACACCGAACCAUGCAGUGUUCUACCCCUAUAGUAUGGACCCAGUACAAGAUCGGGAGAUUUUCAGCCUUAAGGAUGAGAGGGAAGGACGAGAUCGAGAAUUUUUCACCUGGUUUUAGUUGAUCGUGUCUGGAGGGCUCGAUUGGAGUGGGCGGCUGGGGAUGGGAAGGGUUAGGGUGUAGUUUGGGGUCGGAGCGCCCUACGGAUCUGCCCUGGUUGCCAUGGCAACCAGGGAUGGCCGGCGACGGAUGUCGGGGUUCGAGAGGUGGGGGACGAUGGCGGCGUACGAGAGAGGGGAUGGAUCGGAGGCGUGGAUCGGCUGGGUCGUGCGGGCAGCCGGUCUUCUGGCCCGGACAGGGCAGUGCGGGCGGGGUUGCCACACACCGAACGUGCGGGCCGUGCUUUUGUGCGCUCGGACGUGGUCGUGCGGGCCGAUCCCCGUCUAUGCCGCACGAGGCGUGCGGGCGGGUUCUUAUCGACGCCAUACGUGUGGCAGUUAUUCGGACCCCAAACCUAUCAAAAAAAAAUCCACAACAAAGCUGAACAACCGUCUCACCGUUUCGGCCGCUGAGACCGGUCGUUCCUCCAGGAGCCUUGGGACCGGUAGGUAGGUGCUGAGCACGCGCGGCCUCGCAGGCUAGCAAAGCAGAGCGCCCUGGCCCUAGUUUCAAUGGCCCCACCCUCGCGCCAGGAGUCCGUCCGUUCGGAGUCCAUCUAUCUCUCGCACGCUUCCUCUCCUCCCGGCCAUGGCGGCGGCAGCGACGUCCUGCUUCGUCCUCGUCCUCGCGCUCUGCCUUCUCGGUCAGCUACACGCACAGUUGCUACGGCGUUGUAGUUAACUGACAUCGACGUUUCGCUCUGAUGCCUUAAUCGUGCGUGUGCAGUGUCCAUGGCGCUGAUGGCGGGGCACUACUACGGCCGGGCGGAGCUGGUCGCCGGCCCGGGCUGCUCGCGGCUCCUGCGGGCGAACCCGCUAUUGGUGCAGGACAUCACGGUGAGGACUGCGGAGGAGGAAGAAGGGUCGGGGGCGAACGGGCUCGUGCUCUACGGGCUCGCCGAGAUACCCGGCCUCGACGACGUGCCCGCGGUGUGGUCGGAGGCUCGCCGCGUCGUGCUGCCGGCCAACUCUCACAAGGUACACUGCCCCGCACUCGUGCUUCCGCCGUGUCAGAUGAUCGAUACUCAACACGCGUGAUUCAGAAGUUCAGACUAAGCUAUGUAUAAAAAUGGUGUGAACUAGAGCUACAUGUCUUGUGUAUAAACGCGCGCGCGCAUGCAGGAAUGGGUCUAUUUUCUGAACGAAGGUAGUCAGAUCGAGGUCAACUACAGCGUCGAGCCUGUAACUGGACUAACCAAUCCACUCCGGAUCACCAUUGCUCAAGGUAAUAGAGGGUUCUGAUUAAUAUCCUAAAGCUACUAUUAGUACUCAUGUGCUGAGAUUUGGAGCUUGCACAGUAGCAGGUAAGGAAGGCUUCACGCAGUGGUCAGAGGAACCAUCGGUAAACGGUAAGCAUGCACCGUCAGAGCCUCUGAACCGCAGCUAUGUGGUAACAUUACAAGAUCCUAACCUUGCCAAAUCACAGGAACCGGAGCAGUUAAGCAGAUCAUCGAUUCAUCCGACGACUACUACGUCACCGUCAGCAACCUGCGCGACCAAGACACAACGGUAACAAAGUUGUAGAGUGGCAUCCCAUCCCAUCCCAUGUUCGGCCGCCGGUGUGAUCGAUCUUGGCCUGUAACAGCAGUUGAGCGGACUACUGAUUUGGGUUUUCGGCAUGCAGGCGACGCUGGAUUUCAGGAUCAGCUCCGUGCUCUACAACACGAGCGGAGCAGAGUACGCGUGCUCGCCGUCGCCGGGCAGCUCCGGCUGCAUCUACACGCUGCCGAUACUUGGGGAGAACGUGGCCGUCCUGUCGUCUGGUCUGAAAGAGGUGAGGACAUACCUCUCAACAUUCAGCCACGGUACGGGCACUGUUGUGAGCUUCUGAGACUGGACUCUGACGAUGCAUGGGCAGGGCGUGAAGGUGGAGCUCUCGUACGGGCCGCGCUGGAUCAUCUACUUCGUCGGCUCAGGUAGGGCGCAAAUGCAACCUCAUCUCAGCCCGAUGAAAUCACGCCACUAAAAUGUGUAGCUGAAUGUUGUUGAUGCGUACGUGACGCAGCCAUCCUGGCGGUGGCGCUGCUGCUGCUGUACGAGGUGCUGAGCGUGCUGCUCGGGUUCUGCUGCGCCGUCGUGGCCGACCAGAGGACGACGACGACGGCCUCGUUGCUGGAGAGCAAGGAGGAGGAAGAGGGCGGGAGCCGGGGCUCGUCCUUCGAAUCAGUGUCCUCCCACGACGGCGAGGCGGGCGACGAGGAGGAGGGGCGGCGGCUGUGCGUGGUGUGCUGCGACGCCCGGAGGGACUGCUUCUUCAUGCCCUGCGGCCACUCCGCCACCUGCCACGCCUGCGGCACCAAGUACGUAUCUUACGCGCAGCUUUUCGUAUUCUGCCAUGGAAGGGUAUAAGAUCAUGGAGGUGAUGCUAGUGAUGUGUGGCAGGAUUGUUGAGGGAGAUGCUAGCUGCUGCCCGUUCUGCCGGAGGAAGCUGAAGAAGGUGAGGAGGAUCUUCUGCGUAUGAGCGACAUUCUGAUCUCAUGAAGGUUGGCUGGCUUGGCCUGUGAGGAACCAAGGAUGAACAUUUCUGACUGUGAGGGCCAAAAAAAAUCAUACCAAAAAUCGCCCACCGUGGGGCUCGAACCCACGACCACAAGGUUAAGAGCCUUGCGCUCUACCAACUGAGCUAGACGGGCUUGGUGAGCCGUAAAUAAUUAGUAGUUGGUUACUGUGACUUUCCGAUGCGAAGAGCGUAGAAUGGUGUUGACUACCUUGUACUAGCACUCUAUGACAGCCUGUCAGCGGUUGCUUUGACAUCACGGUGUUAUCAGUUUUUCUUUUAUGAUGAGCAUCGCGUGUUAUAUUCCAACUAAUAGAGUGACUCCAGUCAGAAGAAAUACACAUAGUUGCGAAAGAAAUUACAAGGGUGGACACCUAAGACAAGAGCCAAACACGAGACGAAAGACAGAAAACGGAGUGGGAAACUGACUGAAGAAGUCAAACCAAAAUGGAGCGGCUACACGUCAGUCGAUUAAAAAAAUUUUAAGGGGUUAGUCGAUUUUCAUCUUUCAAUCUCCAUCGUUGGAUCUUGAUCAAACGCCCAGAACUUUAUCUUCAACCUCAAACUUGAUCUGUCCUGAGCCGCCGGCCUAACCACCGGUCCCCACCCUCCCCGAAACCACCCCUACCGUUGGUCUUCCGCCGCCCCUGGCCAUACCUCCCCCUUGCGCCGAGUUUUUUCUCUAGCAAAGCCCCACACCAUCACCCCCACCUUAAACCCUAAGAUAGAUACUGGGGUAGCCUCUCCGGCGAGCCCCCGCUGCGACUUUUUCUUCCUUCCCUCUGGCGCCUCAUUUCUUCUAGGGAAAAUCGACUGACCCAAAUCGGAUCUUCAGCUGACUGGAGUUUAGCUAAACUGAACCAAUAUAUCUAACAGCUGACACCUCGGGAGCGAUCCACGACAGCACAUGCAGAAAUGCACAUCAAGAACCUUAUUAGGGAAAUGAUAUUCCGUUGGUCGGGAGAGGCAUGCUGAAAGUGCUAGAAUCACUGAUGGAUAUGUUAGAUCUAGUUGUGGAUUAGAAUGCACAUACAUUCUGCUUGAUGUAUAGGAUGGUUAGACGAGUGUCGUCGUCCAUACUCUUCGUGGUUGAUGACACUAUGCCACAGCGACAAAAGAACUUGGGAUGCGACCCUGUCAAUGUUCGAUCGACGUUGUCUUUGCUAUGUCUCUAUUGGCGGGAUUCGGUCUUCAAAACCCAUUAGGUGAUAGGAGUUUAUUAGGUGCUUAUGGUGUGGCUUUUUCUUUUUCUGUGAUGGAGGUGCUUAUGGUUGUUGUUGGUCACUUUUAUGUUUUGCAAUGAUGGAUGCUCUCUUCAUUUGUGAUUGUUCCCUUGCAUGAAUCAGAUUUAAAAUUCCCUAGGGUGUUUCCUCUAAACAUAGACAAUGAAUCUCAUGAGCUCCUCACACUAGCUAUUACCCCUCUCAACAUAUCUUAGUCUUUUUUCUGCGAAAAGGCGCCUUAUGAAAAGCAAUGCCUGGGAGGUCAUCAACGUAGACCAGAAGGUGCCGACGACUGCGAUGUGUGUAGCAAAUCGUCGCUCGGAGAAGAAGACGCUAAAAAGAGCCUAUAGAUACUCCAAAGACCACAAACGCCAUCCGAAUCCGAAUGAAUCCACUGGAGACCAAAGCCGAAUAGAUUCAGGAAGAUUAGUUGGAGACGCCAAAAAGUGUACUGACAAAACGGAGAUAGGACGAGAAGGACAUUAGUCCAAAACUGGGACAACACCGGCGCCUUGGCGCCCCGACCAAGACACAACGACUCCCUAAAACUAGCCUAAACCAAGACACCCAUGCCAAUGUACGCCAAAUCCGGACUUCAUUCUUCACUUGAUACUUUCCAAGAUCUCCGUGAAAGGAACAUUUGAUUGGUAACUGCGUCUUAUUUGAUUUUAGGUUGCCCUAUUCUACAUAGUAAAAUAUAAAAAAUAUUGGAUUGUUAUGUACAUUGUUCGUUUCGUCAAACAUUAUUAACUAUCCGUGGGAACGCAUGUGUAUUAUGCUAGUAAAUACAAAUGAGCAGUGGAUAGGGGCGAUUCCGGUUCAUGCAUUACACGGUUGGAAGUAGAACCUGCCAUAUUAAUCAGCAAUAUGUGUAAUAUUGAUAUAAGCUAUAAUGUUGACAAACACACAAGCGGGGAUAGCUCAGUUGGGAGAGCGUCAGACUGAAGAUCUGAAGGUCGCGUGUUCGAUCCACGCUCACCGCAAUACGUUUCUUUUUAUUUAGACUACAUAUUUUUUUAGUUACAAAGAAAAGAAACUGAGUUCUCUGCAACUCUUUCUGUUCUUACAUCCCUGUAAACUCUAGAAGUAAUUUCAGAGCAGUAGUCUUCAGACUUUAAAAAAAAAAUCAUACUAUUGAUUUCCUUUCUUUUUUAUGAGCUCUCAGAGCCAUAAUUUCUUGUGUAAAGACUGGAACCUGAAAGAGAGAGCAGACUAACUGCCAUGAUCAUGCACAUCGAAACUGUAACAGGGGAGUAGCAAUAGUCCAAUAUCCUUUCAUUCUUUUCGACCAAUAAACGGCGAACCCCAAGAGGCCACAAUAUCAAACCCUCGUCACCACAGACUAAAUACAAAAACUCAAGUCAAUUGUCAUCAAAGCUAUGAGCAUGCCAUAAUCUCUCAACAUUGCACCGCCCUCGUCAUAACUUUGUUUCACAUUUCUCCAGUUACAACCAUACAUUUAUCCUACAGCUACCCCCGACUAUUUCCACCUUUCUCGUCUCGUCGAGUUACAGUCAGCAUACAAAAUACAUCCGAGCAACUGGAGAGUGCUCU